AAUGUGUGCAAAGACAUAAAAAUAUAUUGCUGAAUUCUGGGAUGAAUAUAAAUAGGACCAAAGUGAAGCAGGCCUGGAAAGAGGAGUUAGAGUCAGAUUGUGGAUAGCUUUAAAUGUCAGGCUGAUGUGUUUGCUCUUUACCCUUCCUUGAGGGCAUAGGAAUCCACAGAAAAUUUUUGAUCAGGAAAGUGACAUAGAGAGAUACUUUAGGAAGAUGAUUUUGGCAGUUUUGUGAAGAUUAGAUUGGAGAUGGAAGAGGCAGAAUUCAAGGAGACCAUUUAAAGGGCUUUUAUAGUAAUCUAGGUGAGAGGUGAUGAGGACCAGAAAUUGGAUAAGUGUAGAAAAAGUAAUAGCUAAGACUUGGAAACCAGAUUGGCUAAAGGGUGGUAGUUAGGAAGAGGGAAGAGUUAAGGAUGAUUUAUUUGUGUGCCUACCAUUUCCUCCAAGUACUUGUUAACUCCUUACGAACGGGGACUGCAUAUGUCUUUGUAUCCCAGUGCCCAGUAUAAUGCCUUGCUCAAGGGGCUCUUAGUAAAUUUUAUUUCUUGAAUUGAAUUGAUGUGGCUGGGAACUGAAUUUAACUAGAUAACCUGUCAUCUAUAAUAACUGUACUCAGCUGUAGUUCAUAUAGAUGUUUAAGUAAUCAAAGGCAAUUGAGCAAGCUAGCUUCCUUUCCCAGGAAAAGGCAGAAAAGCUGAAAGAAAGAACAUGAAAGGAAGAAAGAAUGAAACAAAAAUAGUAUCCCUCAUUAAUUUCCAUCUCUGAGCCCAGCAGACAGUUUGGCACUGCAAUUUGUCAUCAGAGUUGGCCACAAAAACUAAGAAGGACAAGCAGUAAAUGUGAUUCUUACUUCCAAGAAGUUGAGCAAAGCAGCAACCAUGGCUACUGGAACAAUACCCAACAGACAUGGCAUGCUUUGAAAAGGACAGCCUGAUGCCUGAGCAUGAGAGGACAUCCACAAGGUGCUGGAUAUGGGUAUGUUGGUCUUCUGGGCAACUGCCUUCUCUCCUCUUAGAGAAAGCAAGCAGUUUGGUAUCAAUUAUACAUGUGAAGUCAUGCAAAAUAUAUUUCCAUAAUAGCCAUAAUGCAAAAGAGAAUACAGACUAAAAAGGAGAAAAAUGACGUUAUAAAAAAGUAAGUUACAA
This 1145-nucleotide long non-coding RNA is filed under the name Monodelphis domestica (gray short-tailed opossum). RNAcentral describes it as "lncRNA (ENSMODG00000039200.1)". Lineage: Eukaryota; Metazoa; Chordata; Mammalia; Didelphimorphia; Didelphidae. The record is from RNAcentral.